This 207-nucleotide ribosomal RNA is filed under the name uncultured bacterium. RNAcentral's name for it is "partial 16S ribosomal RNA". It matches the Rfam family "Bacterial small subunit ribosomal RNA", at positions 568 to 774 of the family's 1533-position model. The record is from RNAcentral.
CACGUAGGCGGCUUGGUAAGUUGGAUGUGAAAUCCCUCGGCUUAACCAAGGAAGUGCAUCCAAAACUACUGAGCUUGAGUACUAAAGAGGAUCGCGGAAUUCCCGGUGUAGAAGUGAAAUUCGUAGAUAUCGGGAGGAACACCAGUGGCGAAGGCGGCGAUCUGGGUAGAUACUGACGCUGAGGUGCGAAAGCGUGGGGAGCAAACA